This 253-nucleotide ribosomal RNA is filed under the name uncultured bacterium. Its description in RNAcentral is "partial 16S ribosomal RNA". It matches the Rfam family "Bacterial small subunit ribosomal RNA", at positions 524 to 776 of the family's 1533-position model. The record is from RNAcentral.
UACGGGGGGGGUAAGCGUUGUUCGGAAUUACUGGGCGUAAAGGGCUCGUAGGCGGCCAACUAAGUCAUACGUGAAAUCCCUCAGCUUAACUGGGGAACUGCGUGUGAUACUGGAUGGCUUGGAUUUGGGAGAGGGAUGCGGAAUUCCAGGUGUAGCGGUGAAAUGCGUAGAUAUUCGCAAGAACACCAGUGGCGAAGGCGGCUCACUGGCCCGAUACUGACGCUGAGGUGCGAAAGCGUGGGGAGCAAACAGG